Molecule: ribosomal RNA, 156 nt
Filed under: Vibrio vulnificus
Lineage: Bacteria; Pseudomonadati; Pseudomonadota; Gammaproteobacteria; Vibrionales; Vibrionaceae
Description: partial 16S ribosomal RNA
Rfam family: Bacterial small subunit ribosomal RNA
Source: RNAcentral
UUUAAUUGAAGAGUUUGAUCAUGGCUCAGAUUGAACGCUGGCGGCAGGCCUAACACAUGCAAGUCGAGCGGCAGCACAGAGAAACUUGUUUCUCGGGUGGCGAGCGGCGGACGGGCGAGUAAUGCCUGGGAAAUUGCCCUGAGGCGGGGGAUAACC